CUGCGCGGCGUGGAAGGGCCAGGCGGCAGGUUCGCUUCGGAGCGAGAAGCCGCUUUUCUGCGGUCUGUCUGGAGAGGGCUGGGUGAGGUAUGCACCGCGGGCCAGGUGGGCACACUCUGCCGCCUUGCUUUGGGAGCUGCCCGUCGCUGCAUCUCUGCUGGGGCGUAGCCCCGUUUGAACCCGGUGGUGGGGACGGACGCCCGAGUAAAGACGCUGGCACGGGGCAUCGGGCGCCGCCGUUGGGUUCCCAAAGCGAGGCUGCGCUUUGCGAUUGCUACACAGCGCGCAAGUCAAGCCUGGUUGCUGACGGGGCCGCUCCUCUUUCGGAUGGCUGUGUAAAAAACAAAAGAUGGUUGCAUGCAAUUAACAGAGAAGGUUUCGUCUUCUGCCAACUUCGACUUUCCAGAUCUUAUUAACGCUUCCCCUUAUGGUCGUUCCGUAACUAAAAACUGGAGUCCUGUCGUUCUUCAUCAGUGAGGAAGAAAGUGGUUAAAAAGCCCUUAGUUGGCCUUAAAGCAGCCAUCCCCAAUCUGACUUUCAUUUGUUUUGGACUACAACUCCCAACAUGCUGCAGGCUGUCAACCAGAGGGCGCUCGAUCGGUCCGAUUAGCUAAUUGCAUCAUACAAGCUUCUUCCCUGAAAAGAAUGUUCAUUGCCCAGGAUUCCAGACCCCCCUUCACAGAAUCAGUUUAAGCUGCCUUUUUUCACAGCUACUAAUGAGCAUGGAAGCUGAAACAUUUACUUUUAAAAUACUAUGAAAUUGUGCUGUUGUUAGUCUGUUUUUCAUACACUCACACACCCCACCUUUAAGAGUAAAUACACAAAAUAUUAAACUAUACGAAUAGUCAACAGAUGAAACCAAAUGCUAACAUUCUCUCUCAGGUCUAGUUAAAAUAAUUUCGAGGACAAGCAUGGCGUUGGGACGAGACAGAUGUGAUUAACGGGGCUCCGUUAUCACGCUGGUAACUGUCCGGUGGUGGGCUGUGGGAGCCCAAUCUCAGCCCUGUAGGGGUGAAGAUAGAUUGCUUGGCAAAGUUCCCAGCAGGUGUUUGAAUGGCAAUUCUGCGCUUACUGGGAGAAAAUCAAACUUUUCUCAGCUGGAUGGUACAGAAGAGAUCUCAGCUCUCUCAUCCCAAUGAAUGUUGCAGAUUACAGAACAGCUUCUUGCAACGAACUGACUGUCAUCCGCUUAUUAAUGGCAGAUGCAACAAGCUCACUUCACAGCGCUGGGGAAGCUGCAAAGGAGGAGGUACAAGAGGGCCCUGCCCAGCAGCCUCAUGACCCCAGUCCUUCACUGCCUUUUUCUGAAAUUUUUCGCCUGGUCCAGGCUGGACAGGAUAUUCCUGGACUGCAGAAGCUAAACAUCACUGCGACAAAUGGGAGCCCAACUCCCUCUCAAAUGACUCGGAAGCCUAAGCCUUGGGAGAACAAGACAUGAUGAAUGGAGAACCCCCUUUGCCCUGUGUCUGCGCCAAAAAGAACUGGGAUUUACCAGAAAUCUGUUGAACCUGUGGGCUUGCAGGAUCUAAUGCCUCACUGGAUUUUAAGUGCUGCUGAUUUGUGUAGCCAAAAACCUUGUGGACAAGGGGUACCCAUAGCACUGGAAAUGGAUUGUGCAGAAGUUGUAAUUAAAGUAUACUUUACUAAUAUGUACUUUAGAUACCCUGCUCAGUUAUUUAAAAUAAUAGUAUAUAUUGCUAAAAAAUGGAAUACAAUUCUGCACCAGAGCGCAUAAAAACCUGCAUCCAGAACUGUGUAAUUAUGCUGAAUAAGCCAUUUUUAGAUUAUAUUAUUUAGCUUGAGUUAUUGUGCUUUUGUUAAUUAUAGGAGAGACAAGGAUACUGAAGCCUCAGUUUCUUUUCUUAUUCAGCUGCCAUAUGACUUUUGAAAUUUCAGCAAAUCUCACCCACACAUUUCCAAGUAUAUCUUUGCAGUCAUGAGGGCCAGGAAUGCAAGAUCUGAGACUUUCCUGAUGUAGAACUUGGCACUUGGCACUUCGCUGUUUCUGUGGAUUCGAAGCAUAUCAAAUCCCCAAACCAGGUCCACCAGUUACCAUUUCAGCCUCUUUUUCACAACUUUAGGAAGUAUCGGGGUUUUUUACAGAAAGGUUUUUGGGGUGUUUGCUUAUAUUUGCCUUCUGGCAAAUAGAAAUUGGUUUUCCUUUUUAUUUUUAAUAAAUUUUAUUGUUUUCUCUACAAUCUAACUUUAAGAAACAACAGUUAUUUAAGACAUCGGGUAUACUGGGUUAACAUCUUCCUCAUUUUAACAGUCAGUAGUCAUAUCAAAUCUACGCAUAAUCCUGUUUCUCUAACUGAUAGUAAAAAGAGUUCCAGCUUUGGUAGAGAUAUGUGUCCUCCUUCUCCUUCAGUGACAAGAUCAAUCUGUCCCUUUCUGUGCAGUCCAAAAUUCUUUUUAAGAUCAGCUUUUCAGUGCAUGGCUCUUCACUCCCUCCGUAGUGAGCAAAUAAAAUUCUUGCCACAGUGACUAAUUGUAAGAUCAAAAGGUUUUCCUUUUUAGAGUCUUCAAGGAGAGGGUUUUUUUUUUUUUUUUUAACAAAGUGGGCAUUCCCUAUAAGAAACUCUGAGCAUGGCUGCAAAUCCCAGCAAGGGCUUCUGCACAUGAGAACUCCUCCUCCUCUGCCUCCCUGGUCCAGCCUGGCCUCUUACUCGAAUAAUGUGGUGUGGUGGGUAAUGUGUGGAACUAGGAUGGGAAACCCCAGCUUUAAAUUCUCACUUGGCUAUGAAGCCCACUGGAAAACCUUGGACCUGUCACUAUCUCUUAGGCUGGGUUCAGACCAACACGAUAACUCAUACCUUUAAGUAUGAGCUAUUGAGUUAUCUAAACACCGUGGUGCUAACAAACCAUGUUUUUUUGUUGGGUUAUGAACUGCAGGUCUCUGGUCAACAAACCAUGGUUUGUGAGCCUGGCUGUAUUCAAAUAACAACCCAUGUUUGAACAAUAGCCCACUCACAACAUUUGAGUGUGAAUUGGGUUAUCUGAAGCUAGUCACUCUUGAACUACCUCCCAGGAUUAUGUGUAGAUAUAAUGAUAUAUUGGGGUGAACUAUGUCUACUGCCUUAUGUUGGGUGAAGGGUGAGAUGUAAACUGAUAUGAAACCUAAUUUGGUGUUCUGUUAACCUUUCCAAGAUCCUUCAUACCUAUCUAUAAAUUAAAUGCUUCCUAAUUGAAUAAAUGAUGUAAUAACAUGAUGAUAGUUACAUUUGAUAGUAUUUUUAAAUUAUUUCUUUUUUGGUUAGAAAAGGCUACUUGAAAAGAUACAGCCACAUCCCAAUAAGCCUUAAUUAUAUUGUGGCAGUCCUUGAUUCCUUAAUUAAAUGAUAUAUAAAGUGUAUUUUAAAAGACCAGAUAAAAAUAGAGUGUGGAGUAACCAUUAAGCUUUUAAAUCUCUAAUCCAAUAAAUUAUGCUAGCUUCA
Varanus komodoensis (Komodo dragon) is the source of this 3434-nucleotide long non-coding RNA. RefSeq lists it as uncharacterized. NCBI's taxonomy places the organism in Eukaryota, Metazoa, Chordata, Lepidosauria, Squamata, Varanidae. The transcript has 3 exons. The record is from RefSeq and is a predicted model, not a curated record.